RNAcentral lists this ribosomal RNA (357 nucleotides) under uncultured Streptococcus sp. RNAcentral's name for it is "bacterial SSU rRNA". It matches the Rfam family "Bacterial small subunit ribosomal RNA", at positions 1022 to 1382 of the family's 1533-position model. Lineage: Bacteria; Bacillati; Bacillota; Bacilli; Lactobacillales; Streptococcaceae. The record is from RNAcentral.
GGUACAUCGGUGACAGGUGGUGCAUGGUUGUCGUCAGCUCGUGUCGUGAGAUGUGGUUAAGUCCCGCAACGAGCGCAACCCCUAUUGUUAGUUGCCAUCAUUCAGUUGGGCACUCUAGCGAGACUGCCGGUAAUAAACCGGAGGAAGGUGGGGAUGACGUCAAAUCAUCAUGCCCCUUAUGACCUGGGCUACACACGUGCUACAAUGGUUGGUACAACGAGUUGCGAGUCGGUGACGGCGAGCUAAUCUCUUAAAGCCAAUCUCAGUUCGGAUUGUAGGCUGCAACUCGCCUACAUGAAGUCGGAAUCGCUAGUAAUCGCGGAUCAGCACGCCGCGGUGAAUACGUUCCCGGGCCUU